AUACGGAGGGGGUUAGCGUUGUUCGGAAUUACAGGGCGUAAAGCGUACGUAGGCGGAUUAGUAAGUUAGGGAUGAAAUCCCGAGGCUCAACCUCGGAACUGCCUCUAAAACUGCUAGUCUUGAGUUCGAGAGAGGUGAGUGGAAUUCCUAGUGUAGAGGUGAAAUUCGUAGAUAUUAGGAGGAACACCAGUGGCGAAGGCGGCUCACUGGCUCGAUACUGACGCUGAGGUACGAAAGUGUGGGGAGCAAACAGGAUUAGAAACCCUUGUAGUCC
RNAcentral lists this ribosomal RNA (274 nucleotides) under uncultured bacterium. RNAcentral's name for it is "partial 16S ribosomal RNA". It matches the Rfam family "Bacterial small subunit ribosomal RNA", at positions 523 to 796 of the family's 1533-position model. The record is from RNAcentral.